RNAcentral lists this ribosomal RNA (486 nucleotides) under uncultured bacterium. Its description in RNAcentral is "partial 16S ribosomal RNA". It matches the Rfam family "Bacterial small subunit ribosomal RNA", at positions 30 to 507 of the family's 1533-position model. The record is from RNAcentral.
AUUGAACGCUGGCGGCAUGCCUUACACAUGCAAGUCGAACGGCAGCACGGGUGCUUGCCCCUGGUGGCGAGUGGCGAACGGGUGAGUAAUACAUCGGAACAUGUCCUGUAGUGGUGGAUAGCCCGGCGAAAGCCGGAUUAAUACCGCAUACGAUCUACGGAUGACAGCGGGGGACCUUCGGGCCUCGCGCUAUUGGUUUGGCCGAUGGCUGAUUAGCUGGUUGGUGGGGUAAAGGCCUACCAAGGCGGCGACCAGUAGCUGGUCUGUGAGGACGACCAGCCACACUGGGACUGAGACACGGCCCAGACUACUCCGGGAGGCAGCAGUGGGGAAUUUUGGACAAUGGGCGAAAGCCUGAUCCAGCAAUGCCGCGUGUGUGAAGAAGGCCUUCGGGUUGUAAAGCACUUUUGUCCGGAAAGAAAUCCUUGGCCCUAAUACGGUCGGGGGAUGACGGUACCGGAAGAAUAAGCACCGGCUAACUACGUG